This 64-nucleotide ribosomal RNA is filed under the name Bacteroidetes bacterium GWD2_45_23. RNAcentral's name for it is "partial 16S ribosomal RNA". The record is from RNAcentral. Lineage: Bacteria; Pseudomonadati; Bacteroidota.
AAUUUACAAUGAAGAGUUUGAUCCUGGCUCAGGAUGAACGCUAGCGAUAGGCCUAACACAUGCA